Molecule: long non-coding RNA, 315 nt
Filed under: Brassica napus (rape)
Lineage: Eukaryota; Viridiplantae; Streptophyta; Magnoliopsida; Brassicales; Brassicaceae
Description: long non-coding RNA (BNAP_LNC017654)
Source: RNAcentral
UCGUCUGCCUCGCGAUAUCGAACUCUGAUCGGAAAUCAACGUCGAUUAACAACCGUUCUUCUCCAACAAUCACAUCUAUGUACUCGUAUUCACCUGAAAAUUAGCAAAUAAUCAGUCACAGUUUUCAUUACCUGAAAAUUAGCGAAUAAUCAGUCACAGUUUUCGUUUGUGCAGAGAGAGAAGAGCUUCACCAGUUGGGAACGAUGGAGAUUUUUCCCAUUUGGAUUUACAGAGUGAAGAAUCGUAGUGAAGAGAUAAGAGUCCUUCGUUGAGGAGCUUCCUCAGAUCCUCUUUUCGUUUGACUGAUCUGUUCUU